UACGAAGGGGGCUAGCGUUGUUCGGAAUUACUGGGCGUAAAGCGCACGCAGGCGGAUUGAUAAGUCAGGGGUGAAAUCCCGGGGCUCAACCUCGGAAUUGCCUUUGAUACUGUCUGUCUUGAGUCCGGGAGAGGUGAGUGGAAUUCCUAGUGUAGAGGUGAAAUUCGUAGAUAUUAGGAAGAACACCAGUGGCGAAGGCGGCUCACUGGCCCGGUACUGACGCUCAUGUGCGAAAGCGUGGGGAGCAAACAGG
This 253-nucleotide ribosomal RNA is filed under the name uncultured bacterium. Its description in RNAcentral is "partial 16S ribosomal RNA". It matches the Rfam family "Bacterial small subunit ribosomal RNA", at positions 524 to 776 of the family's 1533-position model. The record is from RNAcentral.